This is a non-coding RNA of Taeniopygia guttata (zebra finch), 291 nucleotides long. The record is from RefSeq and is a predicted model, not a curated record. NCBI's taxonomy places the organism in Eukaryota, Metazoa, Chordata, Aves, Passeriformes, Estrildidae.
AAUGAGUCCUCAGUCUGAAUAGCUUUUCUCCACGAACUUCUAACUUCAGUAACUAAAUGGAACAAACCAAGACUGUAACAUAAAAGCAUGGAAAAUGAAGACAUCUGUUGGUAGAGAUAACAAUUCUACAUAAAGACGAUGGAGUUUCCCUGAAGCACCUGCUGCCUUGUCCUCUUAGGACACAUCUUUGUGAAGAGUACCUCCAUGUUCUCUACACCUACUUUUUAGAUACUGAAAUUCUGAUUAAACUCCUAGCAUUGCAUUUUUCAAACUAAAUAAACCAAAUUUCUC